CGGACCUCGCGCCAUUAGAUGAGCCUAGGUCGGAUUAGCUAGUUGGUGAGGUAAUGGCUCACCAAGGCGACGAUCCGUAACUGGUCUGAGAGGAUGAUCAGUCACACUGGAACUGAGACACGGUCCAGACUCCUACGGGAGGCAGCAGUGGGGAAUAUUGGACAAUGGGCGAAAGCCUGAUCCAGCCAUGCCGCGUGUGUGAAGAAGGUCUUCGGAUUGUAAAGCACUUUAAGUUGGGAGGAAGGGUAGUAACCUAAUACGUUGCUACUUUGACGUUACCGACAGAAUAAGCACCGGCUAACUUCGUG
This 308-nucleotide ribosomal RNA is filed under the name uncultured bacterium. RNAcentral's name for it is "bacterial SSU rRNA". It matches the Rfam family "Bacterial small subunit ribosomal RNA", at positions 207 to 507 of the family's 1533-position model. The record is from RNAcentral.